GUUAGGAAUAUUGGACAAUGGGCGCAAGCCUGAUCCAGCCAUGCCGCGUGAGUGAUGAAGGCCCUAGGGUUGUAAAGCUCUUUCACCGGAGAAGAUAAUGACGGUAUCCGGAGAAGAAGCCCCGGCUAACUUCGUGCCAGCAGCCGCGGUAAUACGAAGGGGGCUAGCGUUGUUCGGAAUUACUGGGCGUAAAGCGCACGUAGGCGGACAUUUAAGUCAGGGGUGAAAUCCCGGGGCUCAACCCCGGAACUGCCGUUGAUACUGGGUGUCUGGAGUAUGGAAGAGGUAAGUGGAAUUCCGAGUGUAGAGGUGAAAUUCGUAGAUAUUCGGAGGAACACCAGUGGCGAAGGCGGCUUACUGGUCCAUUACUGACGCUGAGGUGCGAAAGCGUGGGGAGCAAACAGGAUUAGAUACCCUUGUAGUCC
RNAcentral lists this ribosomal RNA (425 nucleotides) under uncultured bacterium. RNAcentral's name for it is "partial 16S ribosomal RNA". It matches the Rfam family "Bacterial small subunit ribosomal RNA", at positions 354 to 796 of the family's 1533-position model. The record is from RNAcentral.